Molecule: long non-coding RNA, 582 nt
Filed under: Zonotrichia albicollis (white-throated sparrow)
Lineage: Eukaryota; Metazoa; Chordata; Aves; Passeriformes; Passerellidae
Description: lncRNA (ENSZALG00000014664.1)
Source: RNAcentral
CUCCUCAGUAGUUUGCUCUUCAUGGAGAUGGACAAGGAAAUAUGUGCUACAUUCAGGGAUGAUCAGAGCAACAGUGACUUUGUUAUCAUCAGCUGCAAGAUGUACCAGUUAAGCAUGCCUGCUACCAUAACCGAACUGUUGUAUAAGACCUUGAACCUUCUUCUUAAUUCUAGUGCUUUCCUGAUAUUUCUUGAUGCUAUACUGCUUUUUGAGGAAGAAAUACAUCAGUGACAAUUUAGAAGCAGUCAGCUAUCCUCUUCACAAAAUAUCUGGAGAUGGCCUGAGAAAAACUCUGAUGACUGCAUGUAAAAAAAACACCCUGUUUUUUUAUGAAGGAAGGGAAAUCAGAGGCUGUUGUUCAAGACCCACCAUGGAGUUUAAGGCUGCAUCAUCCUUGAUCCUCCAAAAGAUGUCUAACACAAUGCCAACCUGGGAUUCAGGAAAGCCUUGUUGGCUCUUCACUCAGCAUUUGCAAACCCUGGCACUUGCAUUCCUGGUACCAAUUUGGUGUAACUCUAUUGGAUCAUGAGGGACAAGGGAGUUACCCAUCAAGAUGUCUCACCAUGUUUGCUGUUGUGACCU